Molecule: unclassified non-coding RNA, 710 nt
Filed under: Hevea brasiliensis (rubber tree)
Lineage: Eukaryota; Viridiplantae; Streptophyta; Magnoliopsida; Malpighiales; Euphorbiaceae
Source: RNAcentral
AUCCAAAAUCUGAAACUUUAAGAACUCCACUAGCAUCCAGUAGCAGAUUUUCAGGCUUUAGGUCUCUAUGGUACACGCCUCUGCUAUGACAGUAAUCUACAGCAUUGAUAAGCUGCUGAAAAUACUUUCUUGCUUCAUCCUCUUUCAACCUCCCUCUACUUGCAAUUUUAUCAAAAAGUUCACCGCCAGUAACAAAUUCCAAAACAAUGUAUAUUUUUGUCUUGCUUGCCAUCACCUCAUACAUACGGAUCACAUUUGGGUGUCUAAUUAGUUUCAUGGUUGAAAUUUCGCGUUUAAUCUGACCGAUCAUUUUAUGCCUGAGAACCUUCUCUUUAUCGAGAAUCUUAAUCGCGACAUUUUCUCCNNUGAAUUCCUAGCAAACUUCACCUUAGCAAAUGUCCCUUCUCCCAGCGUCCUUCCCAACUCGUACCUCCCUACGCGCGUCCGACUGCUAGUCGCAGCACUCCCUCGAGAUGUCAUUCUGCCCUCUCUCUCUCUAUGUUUUUGUGCGUGUGUAGGAUUCCAAAUUCUCUCUGUAACUCUCACUUUCCCUAUAUUCAAAUUGCAAAAUGCAAAUCCUGCGUCUCUCUCUCAGUCCCUAGAAAUUGUUCAUCAAGACCUCUUCUUCUUGCAGGGUUGCCACACCUGAGACUUUACCACCCUCAUCGUCUUCAAAUUAAAGCAAAAAACGAAAACUAAUUAUAGAAAAU